Long non-coding RNA from Solea solea (common sole), 873 nucleotides. RefSeq lists it as uncharacterized. The transcript has 2 exons. NCBI's taxonomy places the organism in Eukaryota, Metazoa, Chordata, Actinopteri, Pleuronectiformes, Soleidae. The record is from RefSeq and is a predicted model, not a curated record.
GGUCAAUCCUCCGUCGUGGCUACGCACCACUACACGACACCUGCAGUGGUAGUCGUUCUGGUUCCGUGCAUUGACGAUGAUGCUGCCGUCCAACAUCUCGACCAGCUGCAGAGGUGCAGAGGGGCAGGAAGAGGAGGAAAAGAGGAAGACCACAGAGAAGGUUCAUGGAUGUGGUGAAAGAGGACAUGCAGGACAGGACAGUUGGUGUAACAGAAGAGGACACAAAGGAGAGGACAGAUUAUAAGCUGUUGCGACCCCUAAAGGGAGAGGCUGAAAGAAGAAGAAGACAAGCUAUUAUAAACCUGGAGCUAACUUCAUCUGUGUCUGAUGAUGUGCUAACAAAUGCUCAAAUUGAAUUAUAUACUCUGUCAGCUUAAAGAACUGAAUAUUUCAAAGUUCACGGACAGUGAAAAGACACAGAAUGGUGCUCAACAUACUAACAACCAGCUGCAAGCUAAAACAAAACUAUCUAACCACCACCUAGUGUAGUGUAGGUGGACACACUCAGUCACUAAAUCGAUUCCCCACUAGUGCUACUGUAUAAACCGGGGCGAGGACAGUGGUCCCACUAAAUGCUGUAGAUGCAUAGCUGGACUUACAUGUAUGUGGACCCAUGGAGCAGGUAAAGUCUUUAGUAAUCUUUAUCAUCACAUCAUAUACAAAGCAUUUUUACAAAGAGAAACCGUACCUGGGGUUCAUCAGGGUUGAAGUCCAACGGUUUCUUCUUCUGGUUGUAGGGGAUGCUCUUCAGGGCGGCACCGUUGUACCAGUUGCGGCCAUGGUCGUCACUCAGGAUGCAGAAAACGCCGUCCCCCUCGAUCGUUCCAUGACCACAGACAACCAACCGCCCUUUAGCUGGACUGUAUCGCUUCU